This 539-nucleotide ribosomal RNA is filed under the name Corynebacterium-like bacterium B27. Its description in RNAcentral is "bacterial SSU rRNA". It matches the Rfam family "Bacterial small subunit ribosomal RNA", at positions 28 to 578 of the family's 1533-position model. The record is from RNAcentral. Lineage: Bacteria; Bacillati; Actinomycetota; Actinomycetes; Mycobacteriales; Corynebacteriaceae.
GACGAACGCUGGCGGCGUGCUUUAACACAUGCAAGUCGAACGGUGAAAGAGGAGCUUGCUCUCUGGAAUCAGUGGCGAACGGGUGAGUAACACGUGAGUNACCUGCCCUUGACUCUGGGAUAAGCGUUGGAAACGACGUCUAAUACCGGAUACGAACCGCGAAGGCAUCUUCUGCGGUUGGAAAGAAUUUCGGUCAAGGAUGGACUCGCGGCCUAUCAGCUUGUUGGUGAGGUAAUGGCUCACCAAGGCGACGACGGGUAGCCGGCCUGAGAGGGUGACCGNCCACACUGGGACUGAGACACGGCCCAGACUCCUACGGGAGGCAGCAGUGGGGAAUAUUGCACAAUGGGCGCAACUGNAUGCAGCAACGCCGCGUGAGGGAUGACGGCCUUCGGGUUGUAAACCUCUUUUAGUAGGGAAGAAGCGAAAGUGACGGUACCUGCAGAAAAAGCACCGGCUAACUACGUGCCAGCAGCCGCGGUAAUACGUAGGGUGCAAGCGUUGUCCGGAAUUAUUGGGCGUAAAGAGCUCGUAGGCGG